AUUGAACGCUGGCGGCAGGCUUAACACAUGCAAGUCGAGCGAGCGGCGGACGGGUGAGUAAUGUCUGGGAAACUGCCUGAUGGAGGGGGAUAACUACUGGAAACGGUAGCUAAUACCGCAUACCAUCAGAUGUGCCCAGAUGGGAUUAGCUAGUGGGUGGGGUAAUGGCUCACCUAGCCGACGAUCUCUAGCGGGUCUGAGAGGCUGACCGGCAAAACUGGAACUGGGAAACGGCCCGGACUCCUACGGGAGGCAGCAGUGGGGAAUAUUGCGCAAUGGGGGAAACCCUGACACAGCCAUGUCGCGGGGAUGAAGAAGGCCUUCGGGUUGUAAAGUUCUUUCGGUAGCGAGGCGUUAACUACAGAAGAAGCACCGGCUAACUCCGUGCCAGCAGCCGCGGUAAUAC
RNAcentral lists this ribosomal RNA (406 nucleotides) under uncultured bacterium. RNAcentral's name for it is "partial 16S ribosomal RNA". It matches the Rfam family "Bacterial small subunit ribosomal RNA", at positions 30 to 526 of the family's 1533-position model. The record is from RNAcentral.